GCUGGGCGUGGUGGCGCAUGCCUGUAGUCCCAGCUACUCAGGAGGCUGAGGUGGGAGGAUUGCUUGAGCCUGGGAGUUUGAGGCUGCAGUGACAGGUGAUCACACCACUGCAUUCCAGCCUAGGUGACAGGGCAAGACCCUGUCUCAA
Molecule: unclassified non-coding RNA, 148 nt
Organism: Pongo abelii (Sumatran orangutan)
Lineage: Eukaryota; Metazoa; Chordata; Mammalia; Primates; Hominidae
Rfam family: Metazoan signal recognition particle RNA
About the family: The signal recognition particle (SRP) is a universally conserved ribonucleoprotein. It is involved in the co-translational targeting of proteins to membranes.
Source: Ensembl